This 396-nucleotide RNase P RNA is filed under the name Terriglobia bacterium. RNAcentral describes it as "RNase P RNA component class A". It matches the Rfam family "Bacterial RNase P class A". From Rfam's summary of the family: Ribonuclease P (RNase P) is a ubiquitous endoribonuclease, found in archaea, bacteria and eukarya as well as chloroplasts and mitochondria. Its best characterised activity is the generation of mature 5'-ends of tRNAs by cleaving the 5'-leader elements of precursor-tRNAs. Cellular RNase Ps are ribonucleoproteins. The record is from RNAcentral. Lineage: Bacteria; Pseudomonadati; Acidobacteriota; Terriglobia.
GAAGUCGGACAGACGGUCGCCGCGACGUGAGUCGGGGAGGAAAGUCCGAACUCCAGAGGGCAGCGUGCUGGGUAACGCCCAGGCUCGGUGACGGGACGGAAAGUGCAACAGAGAGCAAACCGCCGGUCGCGUGCUCGCCGCGGGCCACCUCGCGUAGCGCGUCACGGCGCGGCCGGUAAGGGUGAAACGGUGCGGUAAGAGCGCACCAGCGCCGGCGGCGACGCCGGCGGCUAGGCAAACCCCACGCGGAGCAAGACCGAAUAGGGGAGCGAUCGAGGCUGGCCCGGCCGAAGCUCCCGGGUAGGUUGCUGGAGGACGGGGGAGACCCCGCCCCUAGAGGAAUGACCGUCGCCUCGCUCGCGAGGCACAGAAUUCGGCUUAUGGACGACUUCGACG